UCCACGAGAUUGCUAUAAACGGAGGUCGGAGCCAGCUCCAAAUGGGCGGGACAUCAGCUCCAAGUGGGCUGUACACAAACCUCCAGAGUCUUUUGAGUGGUUUAUUUAAUCUCAUGGCGUUAAUGCAUGUCAAUAAAUAAAUAAAAAAGGAAGACGACGACAACUUCCCUAGGCCUUUCAGCGCCAAGAAAGAUGAGUUUGGAUGGGAUAUACGCUGCAAAUUAUGGACACUAAAGACCAUUUGCAGAUUAACAUGAAUAACUUAAGAAGAUGGAGGUGUGCCAUCCUGCUUGACAAAUUCUCUUUAGAGUAAGUGAUUUGAUAAAACACCACGAGUGUGAAAGUGCAUUUUACUUUAGUUAAUGUUAACUUGUUAACAGUGAAUUAUUUUAGGAUGACAUUGGACUGAAUGUUUAGUGACUAAUGACACUUCAUUCCAGUAAAAAUAUAAUCCAUAGCCUUGGAGUGAACGCAGCAGCAAAGUGUUCCAGUGCUGAUAAAAAUCAAGCAGGUUAAAACCUCCGGUUCCUUAAAUAUCUGUUCUACAGUACAGUUUGGGGUUGGACAGAUUUUGUAAUAGUUUUGAAGUCUGAUGCUUUUCAGGCCUUCAUUUAUUUGUUCAUAAAUGCUGUAGAAACAAUAUUAUUGUAAAUUGUAAUAAUAUUUUACAAUAACUCUCU
Molecule: long non-coding RNA, 680 nt
Organism: Carassius gibelio (silver crucian carp)
Lineage: Eukaryota; Metazoa; Chordata; Actinopteri; Cypriniformes; Cyprinidae
Exons: 3
Source: RefSeq, a predicted model, not a curated record